GUUGAUAAGGUUAAGUGAAUAAGGGCGCACGGUGGAUGCCUUGGCACUAGGAGCCGAUGAAGGACGGGACUAACACCGAUAUGCUUUGGGGAGCUGUACGUAAGCUAUGAUCCAGAGAUUUCCGAAUGGGGAAACCCAACAUCUUUUAUAGGAUGUUACGUUUGCGUGAAUACAUAGCGCAUUCGAGGUAGACGCAGAGAACUGAAACAUCUAAGUACCUGCAGGAAGAGAAAGAAAAUUCGAUUCCCUGAGUAGCGGCGAGCGAAACGGGAAAAGCCCAAACCAAUGAGCUUGCUCAUUGGGGUUGUAGGACUCCAAUAUGGUAGUUCUUUCAGAUAAUCGAAUGACUUGGAAAAGUCAGUCAAAGAGGGUAAAAACCCCGUAGAUGAAAUUUGGAAGGCACCUAGGAGGAUCCUGAGUACGGCGGAACACGAGGAAUUCCGUCGGAAUCCGGGAGGACCAUCUCCCAAGGCUAAAUACUCCCUAGUGACCGAUAGUGAACCAGUACCGUGAGGGAAAGGUGAAAAGCACCCCGGAAGGGGAGUGAAAUAGAACCUGAAACCGUGUGCCUACAACAAGUCAAAGCCCGUUAAUGGGUGAUGGCGUGCCUUUUGUAGAAUGAACCGGCGAGUUACGAUUGCAUGCGAGGUUAAGUCGAAGAGACGGAGCCGCAGCGAAAGCGAGUCUGAAUAGGGCGUUUGAGUAUGUAGUCGUAGACCCGAAACCAUGUGAUCUACCCAUGUCCAGGUUGAAGGUGCGGUAAAACGCACUGGAGGACCGAACCCACGUACGUUGAAAAGUGCGGGGAUGAGGUGUGGGUAGCGGAGAAAUUCCAAACGAACUUGGAGAUAGCUGGUUCUCUCCGAAAUAGCUUUAGGGCUAGCCUCGGAUUUGAGAAUGAUGGAGGUAGAGCACUGUUUGGACUAGGGGCCCAUCUCGGGUUACCGAAUUCAGAUAAACUCCGAAUGCCAUUCAUUCAUAUCCGGGAGUCAGACUGUGAGUGAUAAGAUCCAUAGUCGAAAGGGAAACAGCCCAGACCACCAGCUAAGGUCCCAAAAUAUAUGUUAAG
Molecule: ribosomal RNA, 1069 nt
Filed under: Listeria monocytogenes
Lineage: Bacteria; Bacillati; Bacillota; Bacilli; Caryophanales; Listeriaceae
Description: partial 23S ribosomal RNA
Rfam family: Bacterial large subunit ribosomal RNA
Source: RNAcentral